RNAcentral lists this ribosomal RNA (467 nucleotides) under uncultured bacterium. RNAcentral's name for it is "bacterial SSU rRNA". It matches the Rfam family "Bacterial small subunit ribosomal RNA", at positions 29 to 506 of the family's 1533-position model. The record is from RNAcentral.
ACGAACGCUGGCGGCGUGCUUAACACAUGCAAGUCAAGGGGGCUCAGCAAUGGGCAACCGGCGAACGGGUGCGUAACACGUGAGCAAGCUUCCGAUUUGUGGGGGAUAGCCGGCCCAACGGCCGGGUAAUACCGCAUACGUUCACUGGACGGCAUCGUCUGGUGAGGAAACCUCCGGGGCAAAUCGAGGCGCUCGCGGCCUAUCAGCUAGUUGGCGGGGUAACGGCCCACCAAGGCGACGACGGGUAGCUGGUCUGAGAGGAUGGCCAGCCACAUUGGGACUGCGACACGGCCCAGACUCCUACGGGAGGCAGCAGUGGGGAAUAUUGCGCAAUGGACGAAAGUCUGACGCAGCGACGCCGCGUGUGGGAUGAAGCCUUUCGGGGUGUAAACCACUGUUGCCCGGGACGAACAUCCGCUUUCGAGCGGACUGACGGUACCGGGUGAGGAAGCACCGGCUAACUCUGU